Molecule: long non-coding RNA, 230 nt
Filed under: Lathyrus oleraceus (garden pea)
Lineage: Eukaryota; Viridiplantae; Streptophyta; Magnoliopsida; Fabales; Fabaceae
Description: Pisum sativum (pea) long non-coding RNA (PSAT_LNC027382)
Source: RNAcentral
AAAAUGAGACAGAAAAGGAAAAGAAUAACAAUCAAGGUGACCAAGAGGAAUGAGGAGUCACCCUUGAUCAACUCAUUGAUAAAAAACCUACAUGGAAAAGAACAAAGAAGCAAAUCCUAACUGAGCCAAACCCUCAUUUAGCGGAUUACGUAAAGCCACUGUUCUCGAUAAUUAAAAAGAAACGGGUUCAACGUGAUGAAGCAGGGAUGUUUGAAAAGUUCAAGGAAAUU